UUAAGCGACUAAGCGUACACGGUGGAUGCCCUGGCAGUCAGAGGCGAUGAAGGACGUGCUAAUCUGCGAAAAGCGUCGGUAAGGUGAUAUGAACCGUUACAGCCGGCGAUGUCCGAAUGGGGAAACCCAGUGCAAUUCGUUGCACUAUCGUUAACUGAAUACAUAGGUUAACGAGGCGAACCGGGGGAACUGAAACAUCUAAGUACCCCGAGGAAAAGAAAUCAACCGAGAUUCCCCCAGUAGCGGCGAGCGAACGGGGAGCAGCCCAGAGUCUGAAUCAGCUUGUGUGUUAGUGGAACGGUCUGGAAAGUCCGACGGUACAGGGUGAUAGUCCCGUACACCAAAAUGCACAGGNUGUGAACUCGAAGAGUAGGGCGGGACACGUGGUAUCCUGUCUGAAUAUGGGGGGACCAUCCUCCAAGGCUAAAUACUCCUGACUGACCGAUAGUGAACCAGUACCGUGAGGGAAAGGCGAAAAGAACCCCGGCGAGGGGAGUGAAAAAGAACCUGAAACCGUGUACGUACAAGCAGUGGGAGCACCUUCGGGUGUGACUGCGUACCUUUUGUAUAAUGGGUCAGCGACUUAUAUUCUGUAGCAAGGUUAACCGUAUAGGGGAGCCGCAGGGAAACCGAGUCUUAACUGGGCGUUAAGUUGCAGGGUAUAGACCCGAAACCCGGUGAUCUAGCCAUGGGCAGGUUGAAGGUUGGGUAACACUAACUGGAGGACCGAACCGACUAAUGUUGAAAAAUUAGCGGAUGACUUGUGGCUGGGGGUGAAAGGCCAAUCAAACCGGGAGAUAGCUGGUUCUCCCCGAAAGCUAUUUAGGUAGCGCCUCGUGAACUCAUCUUCGGGGGUAGAGCACUGUUUCGGCUAGGGGGUCAUCCCGACUUACCAACCCGAUGCAAACUACGAAUACCGAAGAAUGUUAUCACGGGAGACACACGGCGGGUGCUAACGUCCGUCGUGAAGAGGGAAACAACCCAGACCGCCAGCUAAGGUCCCAAAGUCAUGGUUAAGUGGGAAACGAUGUGGGAAGGCACAGACAGCCAGGAUGUUGGCUUAGAAGCAGCCAUCAUUUAAAGAAAGCGUAAUAGCUCACUGGUCGAGUCGGCCUGCGCGGAAGAUGUAACGGGGCUAAACCAUGCACCGAAGCUGCGGCAGCGACACUAUGUGUUGUUGGGUAGGGGAGCGUUCUGUAAGCCUGCGAAGGUGUGCUGUGAGGCAUGCUGGAGGUAUCAGAAGUGCGAAUGCUGACAUAAGUAACGAUAAAGCGGGUGAAAAGCCCGCUCGCCGGAAGACCAAGGGUUCCUGUCCAACGUUAAUCGGGGCAGGGUGAGUCGACCCCUAAGGCGAGGCCGAAAGGCGUAGUCGAUGGGAAACAGGUUAAUAUUCCUGUACUUGGUGUUACUGCGAAGGGGGGACGGAGAAGGCUAUGUUAGCCGGGCGACGGUUGUCCCGGUUUAAGCAUGUAGGCUGNUCCAGGCAAAUCCGGAUAAUCAAGGCUGAGGUGUGAUGACGAGGCACUACGGUGCUGAAGUAACAAAUGCCCUGCUUCCAGGAAAAGCCUCUAAGCAUCAGGUAACAUCAAAUCGUACCCCAAACCGACACAGGUGGUCAGGUAGAGAAUACCAAGGCGCUUGAGAGAACUCGGGUGAAGGAACUAGGCAAAAUGGUGCCGUAACUUCGGGAGAAGGCACGCUGGUGUGUAGGUGAAGUCCCUGCGGAUGGAGCUGAGACCAGUCGAAGAUACCAGCUGGCUGCAACUGUUUAUUAAAAACACAGCACUGUGCAAACACGAAAGUGGACGUAUACGGUGUGACGCCUGCCCGGUGCCGGAAGGUUAAUUGAUGGGGUUAUCCGUAAGGAGAAGCUCUUGAUCGAAGCCCCGGUAAACGGCGGCCGUAACUAUAACGGUCCUAAGGUAGCGAAAUUCCUUGUCGGGUAAGUUCCGACCUGCACGAAUGGCGUAAUGAUGGCCAGGCUGUCUCCACCCGAGACUCAGUGAAAUUGAACUCGCUGUGAAGAUGCAGUGUACCCGCGGCAAGACGGAAAGACCCCGUGAACCUUUACUAUAGCUUGACACUGAACAUUGAGCCUUGAUGUGUAGGAUAGGUGGGAGGCUUUGAAGCGUGGACGCCAGUCUGCGUGGAGCCAACCUUGAAAUACCACCCUUUAAUGUUUGAUGUUCUAACGUUGGCCCCUGACCGGGGUUGCGGACAGUGUCUGGUGGGUAGUUUGACUGGGGCGGUCUCCUCCCAAAGCGUAACGGAGGAGCACGAAGGUUAGCUAAUCCUGGUCGGACAUCAGGAGGUUAGUGCAAUGGCAUAAGCUAGCUUGACUGCGAGCGUGACGGCGCGAGCAGGUGCGAAAGCAGGUCAUAGUGAUCCGGUGGUUCUGAAUGGAAGGGCCAUCGCUCAACGGAUAAAAGGUACUCCGGGGAUAACAGGCUGAUACCGCCCAAGAGUUCAUAUCGACGGCGGUGUUUGGCACCUCGAUGUCGGCUCAUCACAUCCUGGGGCUGAAGUAGGUCCCAAGGGUAUGGCUGUUCGCCAUUUAAAGUGGUACGCGAGCUGGGUUUAGAACGUCGUGAGACAGUUCGGUCCCUAUCUGCCGUGGGCGCUGGAGAAUUGAGGGGGGCUGCUCCUAGUACGAGAGGACCGGAGUGGACGCAUCACUGGUGUUCGGGUUGUCAUGCCAAUGGCACUGCCCGGUAGCUAAAUGCGGAAGAGAUAAGUGCUGAAAGCAUCUAAGCACGAAACUUGCCCCGAGAUGAGUUCUCCCUGAGACU
RNAcentral lists this ribosomal RNA (2789 nucleotides) under Klebsiella pneumoniae. Its description in RNAcentral is "23S ribosomal RNA". It matches the Rfam family "Bacterial large subunit ribosomal RNA". The record is from RNAcentral. Lineage: Bacteria; Pseudomonadati; Pseudomonadota; Gammaproteobacteria; Enterobacterales; Enterobacteriaceae.